RNAcentral lists this ribosomal RNA (2045 nucleotides) under Salmonella enterica subsp. enterica serovar Typhimurium. Its description in RNAcentral is "partial 23S ribosomal RNA". It matches the Rfam family "Bacterial large subunit ribosomal RNA", at positions 843 to 2784 of the family's 2925-position model. Lineage: Bacteria; Pseudomonadati; Pseudomonadota; Gammaproteobacteria; Enterobacterales; Enterobacteriaceae. The record is from RNAcentral.
AGAUAGCUGGUUCUCCCCGAAAGCUAUUUAGGUAGCGCCUCGUGAAUUCAUCUCCGGGGGUAGAGCACUGUUUCGGCUAGGGGGCCAUCCCGGCUUACCAACCCGAUGCAAACUGCGAAUACCGGAGAAUGUUAUCACGGGAGACACACGGCGGGUGCUAACGUCCGUCGUGAAGAGGGAAACAACCCAGACCGCCAGCUAAGGUCCCAAAGUCAUGGUUAAGUGGGAAACGAUGUGGGAAGGCCCAGACAGCCAGGAUGUUGGCUUAGAAGCAGCCAUCAUUUAAAGAAAGCGUAAUAGCUCACUGGUCGAGUCGGCCUGCGCGGAAGAUGUAACGGGGCUAAACCAUGCACCGAAGCUGCGGCAGCGAACGUAUCACCCAAGACAACUUUACGGAGUUGACGAUUGACGGAGCGAAGCGACGUCAAAGCGUUCAUUAAAGUCGAGUUGGCUUAGGGAUACGUUCGUUGGGUAGGGGAGCGUUCUGUAAGCCUGUGAAGGUGUGUCGUGAGGCAUGCUGGAGGUAUCAGAAGUGCGAAUGCUGACAUAAGUAACGAUAAAGCGGGUGAAAAGCCCGCUCGCCGGAAGACCAAGGGUUCCUGUCCAACGUUAAUCGGGGCAGGGUGAGUCGACCCCUAAGGCGAGGCCGAAAGGCGUAGUCGAUGGGAAACGGGUUAAUAUUCCCGUACUUGGUGUUACUGCGAAGGGGGGACGGAGAAGGCUAUGUUGGCCGGGCGACGGUUGUCCCGGUUUAAGCGUGUAGGUGUGUGUUCCAGGUAAAUCCGGUUCACUUUAACACUGAGGCGUGACGACGAGGCACUACGGUGCUGAAGCAACAAAUGCCCUGCUUCCAGGAAAAGCCUCUAAGCAUCAGGUAACACGAAAUCGUACCCCAAACCGACACAGGUGGUCAGGUAGAGAAUACCAAGGCGCUUGAGAGAACUCGGGUGAAGGAACUAGGCAAAAUGGUGCCGUAACUUCGGGAGAAGGCACGCUGACACGUAGGUGAAGUGAUUUACUCAUGGAGCUGAAGUCAGUCGAAGAUACCAGCUGGCUGCAACUGUUUAUUAAAAACACAGCACUGUGCAAACACGAAAGUGGACGUAUACGGUGUGACGCCUGCCCGGUGCCGGAAGGUUAAUUGAUGGGGUCAGCGUAAGCGAAGCUCCUGAUCGAAGCCCCGGUAAACGGCGGCCGUAACUAUAACGGUCCUAAGGUAGCGAAAUUCCUUGUCGGGUAAGUUCCGACCUGCACGAAUGGCGUAAUGAUGGCCAGGCUGUCUCCACCCGAGACUCAGUGAAAUUGAACUCGCUGUGAAGAUGCAGUGUACCCGCGGCAAGACGGAAAGACCCCGUGAACCUUUACUAUAGCUUGACACUGAACAUUGAGCCUUGAUGUGUAGGAUAGGUGGGAGGCUUUGAAGUGUGGACGCCAGUCUGCAUGGAGCCGACCUUGAAAUACCACCCUUUAAUGUUUGAUGUUCUAACGUGGACCCGUAAUCCGGGUUGCGGACAGUGUCUGGUGGGUAGUUUGACUGGGGCGGUCUCCUCCUAAAGAGUAACGGAGGAGCACGAAGGUUGGCUAAUCCUGGUCGGACAUCAGGAGGUUAGUGCAAUGGCAUAAGCCAGCUUGACUGCGAGCGUGACGGCGCGAGCAGGUGCGAAAGCAGGUCAUAGUGAUCCGGUGGUUCUGAAUGGAAGGGCCAUCGCUCAACGGAUAAAAGGUACUCCGGGGAUAACAGGCUGAUACCGCCCAAGAGUUCAUAUCGACGGCGGUGUUUGGCACCUCGAUGUCGGCUCAUCACAUCCUGGGGCUGAAGUAGGUCCCAAGGGUAUGGCUGUUCGCCAUUUAAAGUGGUACGCGAGCUGGGUUUAGAACGUCGUGAGACAGUUCGGUCCCUAUCUGCCGUGGGCGCUGGAGAACUGAGGGGGGCUGCUCCUAGUACGAGAGGACCGGAGUGGACGCAUCACUGGUGUUCGGGUUGUCAUGCCAAUGGCACUGCCCGGUAGCUAAAUGCGGAAGAGAUAAGUGCUGAAAGCAUCUAA